UACAGAGGUCUCAAGCGUUGUUCGGAUUCAUUGGGCGUAAAGGGUGCGUAGGUGGCGCUGUAAGUCGGGUGUGAAAUUUCGGAGCUUAACUCCGAAACUGCAUUCGAUACUGCGGUGCUUGAGGACUGGAGAGGAGACUGGAACUCAUGGUGUAGCAGUGAAAUGCGUAGAGAUCAUGAGGAAGACCAGUGGCGAAGGCGGGUCUCUGGACAGUUCCUGACACUGAGGCACGAAGGCCAGGGGAGCAAACGGG
RNAcentral lists this ribosomal RNA (253 nucleotides) under uncultured bacterium. Its description in RNAcentral is "partial 16S ribosomal RNA". It matches the Rfam family "Bacterial small subunit ribosomal RNA", at positions 524 to 776 of the family's 1533-position model. The record is from RNAcentral.